RNAcentral lists this ribosomal RNA (253 nucleotides) under uncultured bacterium. RNAcentral's name for it is "partial 16S ribosomal RNA". It matches the Rfam family "Bacterial small subunit ribosomal RNA", at positions 524 to 776 of the family's 1533-position model. RNAcentral also lists the same sequence under 2 other names. The record is from RNAcentral.
GACGAACCGAGCGAACGUUGUUCGGAAUCACUGGGCUUAAAGGGCGCGUAGGCGGGCUGUCAAGUCUGGGGUGAAAUCCCGCGGCUCAACCGUGGAACUGCCUUAGAUACUGACGGCCUCGAGGGAGAUAGGGGCGAGCGGAACUGUGAGUGGAGCGGUGAAAUGCGUUGAUAUUCACAGGAACUCCGGUGGCGAAGGCGGCUCGCUGGAUCUUUUCUGACGCUGAGGCGCGAAAGCUAGGGGAGCAAACGGG